CAAAAUGUAGCUUAAUUAAAGCCCUCCGCUUACACCGGACAAAUAUCUGUUUGACCCAGAUCAUUUUGA
This 69-nucleotide transfer RNA is filed under the name Pelophylax epeiroticus (Epirus pool frog). RNAcentral describes it as "tRNA-Val". The record is from RNAcentral. Lineage: Eukaryota; Metazoa; Chordata; Amphibia; Anura; Ranidae.